Molecule: transfer RNA, 71 nt
Filed under: Urocitellus parryii (Arctic ground squirrel)
Lineage: Eukaryota; Metazoa; Chordata; Mammalia; Rodentia; Sciuridae
Also listed under: 1 other name
Description: Spermophilus parryii (Arctic ground squirrel) tRNA
Rfam family: tRNA
About the family: Transfer RNA (tRNA) molecules are approximately 80 nucleotides in length. Their secondary structure includes four short double-helical elements and three loops (D, anti-codon, and T loops).
Source: Rfam by way of RNAcentral
UCGGGUGUAGCUCAGUGGCAGAGCACUUGCCUGGCAUGCAUGAGGCCUGAGUUCCAUUUCUAGUACCAAAG